UACGGAGGGUCCGAGCGUUAUCCGGAAUUAUUGGGUUUAAAGGGUCCGUAGGCGGGCAAUUAAGUCAGUGGUGAAAGUCUGUAGCUCAACUAUAGAAUUGCCUUUGAUACUGAUUGUCUUGAGUUAUAGUGAAGUUGCCGGAAUAUGUAGUGUAGCGGAUGAAAUGCAUAGAUAUUACAUAGAACACCGUAUUGACGGAA
Molecule: ribosomal RNA, 200 nt
Filed under: uncultured bacterium
Lineage: Bacteria
Description: partial 16S ribosomal RNA
Rfam family: Bacterial small subunit ribosomal RNA
Source: RNAcentral